This 433-nucleotide ribosomal RNA is filed under the name uncultured bacterium. RNAcentral's name for it is "partial 16S ribosomal RNA". It matches the Rfam family "Bacterial small subunit ribosomal RNA", at positions 29 to 507 of the family's 1533-position model. The record is from RNAcentral.
AACGAACGCUGGCGGCAUGCCUAACACAUGCAAGUCGAACGAGACCUUCGGGUCUAGUGGCGCACGGGUGCGUAACGCGUGGGAACCUGCCCUUAGGUUCGGAAUAACUCCCCGAAAGGGGUGCUAAUACCGGAUAAUGUCUUCGGACCAAAGAUUUAUCGCCUUUGGAUGGGCCCGCGUUGGCUUAGCUAGUUGGUAGGGUAAAAGCCUACCAAGGCGACGAUCCAUAGCUGGUCUGAGAGGAUGAUCAGCCACACUGGGACUGAGACACGGCCCAGACUCCUACGGGAGGCAGCAGUGGGGAAUAUUGGACAAUGGGCGAAAGCCUGAUCCAGCAAUGCCGCGUGAGUGAUGAAGGCCUUAGGGUUGUAAAGCUCUUUUACCCGGGAUGAUAAUGACAGUACCGGGAGAAUAAGCACCGGCUAACUGCGUG